AUUGAACGCUGGCGGAAUGCUUUACACAUGCAAGUCGAACGGCAGCACGGACUUCGGUCUGGUGGCGAGUGGCGAACGGGUGAGUAAUGUAUCGGAACGUGCCCAGUCGUGGGGGAUAACGUAGUGAAAAUUACGCUAAUACCGCAUACGAUCUAUGGAUGAAAGCGGGGGAUCGCUAGACCUCGCGCGAUUGGAGCGGCCGAUAUCAGAUUAGGUAGGUGGUGGGGUAAAGGCCCACCAAGCCAACGAUCUGUAGCUGGUCUGAGAGGACGAACAGCCACACUGGAACUGUGACACGGUCCAGACUCCUACGGGAGGCAGCAGUGGGGAAUUUUGGACAAUGGGCGAAAGCCUGAUCCAGCCAUUCCGCGUGCAGGAUGAAGGCCCUCGGGUUGUAAACUGCUUUUGUACAGAACGAAAAGGUUUCUACUAAUACUAGGAGCUCAUGACGGUACUGUAAGAAUAAGCACCGGCUAACUACGUGCCAGCCGCCGCAGUAA
RNAcentral lists this ribosomal RNA (500 nucleotides) under uncultured bacterium. RNAcentral describes it as "partial 16S ribosomal RNA". It matches the Rfam family "Bacterial small subunit ribosomal RNA", at positions 30 to 523 of the family's 1533-position model. The record is from RNAcentral.